This 252-nucleotide ribosomal RNA is filed under the name uncultured bacterium. Its description in RNAcentral is "partial 16S ribosomal RNA". It matches the Rfam family "Bacterial small subunit ribosomal RNA", at positions 524 to 776 of the family's 1533-position model. The record is from RNAcentral.
UACGAAGGGGGCUAGCGUUGCUCGGAAUGACUGGGCGUAAAGGGCGCGUAGGCGGAUGGCACAGUCAGAUGUGAAAUUCCCGGGCUUACCUGGGGGCUGCAUUUGAUACGUGUGAUCUAGAGUGAGGAAGAGGGUCGUGGAAUUCCCAGUGUAGAGGUGAAAUUCGUAGAUAUUGGGAAGAACACCGGUGGCGAAGGCGGCGACCUGGUCCUUGACUGACGCUGAGGCGCGAAAGCGUGGGGAGCAAACAGG